UGAGCAUCUUCAUUUGCUCUCCCAGGUGGCGUCCACAGAAGCAGAGUUUGACCUUUUGCAGCUGUGCUGUGGGUCGGCGGGGAUGCUUGUUCGAUGUCUCAAUGCAGCUGGAGACAGUCUGACAGCGGCCUCUACUGGUCACUUGAGUCCCUGCAACUGGCUGGCUCCUGGCACCAACAUGGAUGAGACCACACACUCCCAACCUGAGACUGCCUCUGUACCGGGAGGAGAUGACUGUGGCCAGAAGGGACGAGGAGCCCCCUCUGCUCCCCAUUCACCCCCCCCCCCCCACCCAUCUGCAUCAAAU
Molecule: long non-coding RNA, 307 nt
Organism: Anguilla rostrata (American eel)
Lineage: Eukaryota; Metazoa; Chordata; Actinopteri; Anguilliformes; Anguillidae
Exons: 4
Source: RefSeq, a predicted model, not a curated record